GGGGUGGGGGCUGUCCACUUGGGGCCCCUGAUGAGCCGAGAUUCUCCCACGAACCCUCGGGCUCUGGGGCUCAUCUGCUUGCACGGGCUCUGAGGACCUGUCCAGGGCUGGAGCCGGGAGCUCAUCAUCCGCAUCCGUGUAGGGCCCCCCGCUAGCCGUCUGUGUAGCGCUCGCCAUCAGUGUACGCGCCGCCCUCGCCUUCCGUCUCCUCCAGUAGUCGCUGUUAACACGGCUGUCGCAGCUGAGGUCAGCAGAGCUGUCGGCCAGGCCGCGGUGAGGGUUGUCCUCCAAGGAGCCAUCCAGCUUAUCUUCCGCCGUCCAGAUGGGCCGCGUCUGCUGCUCUCGAAUGAUAGCCUUGAACUCCUGGUACCAGGUGUCACUCGUGCCAUUCAGAGGGAUGGUGGCUGUGAAGAGGUGGCUGCUCUGCUUCCGCAGCUUCUGGGCUUGUGCGUAGAGGCGGCGGGUACUGCGGCAGGAGGCAGGCGCCAGCCAACUUAGCUCCUUCUAAAUUGUCCUCAUACAUCCAGUGAUUUUCAGAUCAUUUUCAUUCAAAGACUGAUUGAGAAAAUCUCAGAAGAUUAAAGAGAAUAAAGGAUCUGACUUGAAA
Molecule: long non-coding RNA, 607 nt
Filed under: Homo sapiens (human)
Lineage: Eukaryota; Metazoa; Chordata; Mammalia; Primates; Hominidae
Description: HSALNT0294445
Source: RNAcentral